Molecule: long non-coding RNA, 7080 nt
Filed under: Heterocephalus glaber (naked mole-rat)
Lineage: Eukaryota; Metazoa; Chordata; Mammalia; Rodentia; Bathyergidae
Description: lncRNA (ENSHGLG00000038417.1)
Source: RNAcentral
GUAUGCCCUGGUCAUGUUUCCCAUCCUUCUGGUUUGUUCUUUACUGAUACUUUCUGAAUAUCAUCUCUUGUAAUUUAUGUGGGCUGGGGGUCUAGAUGAAGGUGGAGUGCAGUUUAAAUAUUGAAGUAGCAUCCUCCAUACACCCCCCUUUUGGGCUGAUUGUUACCACCCAGUAUAAAGGGAUAAUUCUGGUGCUAACUGUUCUUGAUGAUUAUUGGAAAAGGAAGGAAUUGCUUACUCUCUGGCUGAGUUGUGGCUCUCGCUCCAGCAUCUGUGUGGAAGCAUGCCUGGUUUUUCCAUCUCUCAGCACUGGUCCUUGGGGCCUUUGAACAGCGAUGUAAUGUUUUAUGGCUGGGCCAUUCUAUGAACACUUGCCACAGGAGGCUAUUGGGCAACUGACUAUGGAGAAACUGGACUUUCAAUUUUAUUAAAUAUUCAUUAAGUUAUAUUAAAUGGACACAAAGAGUAGUGGCUACAAUAUGAGACAACACAGCUAGAUAUCUGUAUAUGUUCUUAACUCUGACUUACUUCAUUCUUCCAGAAAGAGGUCUGCAUGACCUGUGGAGGCAGUCACAGCCAGCUCCUUGUACACAGGCUCACUUUGGCUCUCCUUGUAUCUUGUGCAAAUUCUAACUGCUUCAUCUCCAUGUCCAGAUCAGCAGUGGAGGUUCUUGAGAAAAGUCAUGGCUUCAGCUACUGGCACCAACAAGGUGAAAGAGAUCGCCACCUGCUCCAUCUGCCUGAACCUCAUUAUGCACCCAGUAAGCAUCACCUGUGGACACAGCAACAGUCAGUGUGGUUUGAAGCUGCACCUCUGCCAGAUGUCCCAAAAGCAGGGUCAAAAGAGAUUUCCCCGUCCUGAAUGUCGGGAGCCUUUUCAUAAAGAUAGGCUGUGUUCCAACAGGCUACUGGGAACUCUCACUGAAGUUAUACAGGAAAUGGAGGAGACAGAGGAUGAGCUGCUGUGAGGCCCAUGGACAGCAGCUCCAGCUCUUCUGUAAAGAUGACAACCAGCUCAUCAGCUGGCACUGUGAGCGGGGACCACAGCACCAAGGCAUGCCCUGGUGCUGGUAGAGGAUGUGUGCCAGGGGUACAAGGUGAGUAUACAUCCGGGCCUCAGCAGGGACCCACCCUGUGCUGCUUGCAAGACCUGAGCUUAUUGGUCCCAAAGCUAAAAAUGAUGACCCUGAAGCACAGAGAUGGUAUUCUUUUGAAAAAUACCUUGUGAUGGGUCUUUGCUGAAUCCAUAUCUAAGUGUCCCCCUGACAUUUAGCAGGAUGCUCAAACUCCUGUCCCUAUUCUGUGUGUCAUCAUGGACUUCUCCCUGCUCUGGGACAUGCCAACCAAACACCUACCUGGGUUCUGCUUCACACUGUGUGUACUGGAAGGGGAGGAGAUUCUAGAGUUCAGAGUCUUAAUACUUCAGGAAAGUGACUUCCUGGAGCACCUGGCUUUGGUGCUGAGAGAGGAGUGGUUCAUCCCAGAGGUGGCUCCUGAGACACCUCUACUUAGCCCCUGCAGGGUGCCCAGGCACAAGGAUCUGCACAUGCAAAGGCACAGGCAUGGGGUUUCUGAUUCACCUUGGCCAGGUUAUGGGCUGUGUGCAGAGGACAGGCAGCUGGGAACAAGGGAAAGGAAGACAGGCCACAGCAUCUGAGUGGCAGCUCCCAGUCUCAAUCCUAGACCGUAGUAUAUGUAACCUGCCACAGGGGCAUUUCUACAUGCAGAGUAAAGAUUCACUACCAUUGAAAAAAUUAUCCAUGCAGUCUGAAAAUACAAGGAAUAUCCAGUUAGAAUUCAAAUGAUCCCUUCAAGAAAGGAAGCCAGAGGGAAGUUUCAAACAACAUUCUAGAGGGGUGAUAGAUUUAGGAAGUGAUGGACGUUGAAGAUGAGUGGAGACAGUGGUUUUGAAAGCUCCUAGGUAUCCACCGAGAGCUUGCAGGGGACUGGCCUGUGCAGUGGUGAAGGAAGGAGCCAGUUCUGCUUCACUGGCUCUGAGCCCUGUUAGAGCUCAAAAGCAUGGCUGAGCUUGGGCUCCUGGUUCUCUCCUUUGUGAUAGAGAGCUGAGGUCCUAUGAAAGAUCCAAUGCCUUCCUAAGGUCACAUCAGUCCUGACCUCGACUCAGCACACAGUGCUUCCUUAGACUCUAUGGAGCUUCGAAUGCCUGUAACAGGGGUGCUCCUGUUUGAGUUUCUCUGCCACCCCCAGUGGGGACAGGAGCAACACAGGAUCAUGGUUGUCAGCCUCAGAGGCAGACAGCUGAGGUUGAAAUCUUAGCUCUUGUGUUACUAGAAGGACAGUUUGAGGUAAGUUAUUAAGUGUCUUCAGGGCUUGGUUUUCCCAAGGAAUAAAAGCAUUCCCCUCCCUCCCUAACACACAUGUCCAGGGAGUGCAUGAGUUGUAAGGAUAUUAUCACAUGUAGAGCUUAGAAUAACAUGUGGCUGGUAGCCAGAGCAAGGCAGUCUCCUAAAUCAGUUUGGUUGAUAGCUUUCCUGAGAGCGUGAGAGAAUUCAUGCAUGUCCUUGUGGGGCUUACAAAAGAAGAGCCAUUGCUUUUGACGAUGAAUAAUUGGUGUUCACCUCAACUUGCUUUCAAGGAAAGUUUGAGAGAUUGCUUUGAAAGAUUGGCUAAAAUUUAACAUGGGCACUAAGACGUUUUAAAUUGGAUUCAUGAUUCUGUCUUCACUGCACUCUGGAACUCUUCAAUGGGUGUUACCUGCUUCUAAUAACUUCAGUUGUCAUCCUGCUCUUUCCUUUCUGACUCACCCACAAUACUAACAAAGUUAGAGGUCUCAAACAUCAUGGAAGUGGUUAUUUUUGGUUCAGCACAUUAAUGUAUAAGAUUUUGUUUUGAUGAUGGUCGUAUCUGUUUGUAAUUUUCCCUUGGCCCUAGUGUGGUGGGGCACAUGGCAUAGCCCCUGGUCAGCAUGGGGCAUGAGAAUGGCAGCCCAUUUGCCUACCAGGUAUUCUCCCAUGGCAGUUAUUCAACCUCUUCAGAGGCUCCUUUUCCACAGUAGAAAGGAUAUUCAAAUCCUUACUAACUGUUCAGUGUUGGUGAGGGGAUCUGUACGUCACAGCCCCUGCAGCAUGCAAGAGUCUCUCGGGCAAACCUAAGAACUCAGUUAAUAUUCACAGUUAUUUUAGUACAUCUUGGAUGCUGGAAUUUCCAUUAGGUGUCCCAGAAGAAUCAAAUUGGGUAGACUUUAUUCACCCAAUUUUUCCUUCAGGAAAAUCUAGAACAAGCUCCCAGAAAGUUGAAUCAACUCAAGAGGAAUGCGUGAAUCAAAAAUGUUUAUAACAAUCCAGAUAAUGGAAGGUAAGAAUCUGAUUCCUGAACCUUGAAAUAUUUUGCAUUCUGGAGUUUAGGGACAGAGGAUGAUUGGGAAAGACAAAACACAAGGAUGGUUUAUUCUCACUGCACCUAGCCAGGCCCUUCAAACCAAAAGUGCAGAGUCUGAUUCUCAGCUUUACACCCCUUAAGGGCAUUCAGUAAAUAAGCCCCUUCUUGGUUGGGAUUCAUGAGGCCAAUGAAGGAAAUUAACUUGUGUUAUAAAGGACAACAUCGAUGCUGCUAGAAACCAUACACUUGGCCCUGCAGACUGAAGGCUUUCAGAGCUUUCCUGUGGCUCACCAAGCUCCACGUUACCAGAGAAACACUCCUUUUGCAACAUGUCUCUGUGAUCCUUUAGCCUACAGUCCAUGUUCACAGGCCAGUUAGCCAGUCUGCCUGUUUCAAGGUCCACCCUCUGCCUCCUUUGUGUGUCGAGGUUGAUCUCUAGCUUUCAGAGGAUCAUCUUAUUUCCCUCUUUUUGGGGAUCUUUGGCAGGGGGAAGACUUUGACUGUAGCUGGCACAUGGGAAAAGCCUCAAUACAAAAGGCAAAUGUGUACCAAGUUCUUAAACAAAAUGUUCACUUCAUCCUAAUCAAUGACCUCCUGUCACAGUAUAAUUGCCAUUGAAAUUCUGUAUUAAUUAAUUCUGGGAGCACUCCCAGAAACAGAUAGGCCUACACCUAAUCAUAGGAGAGCUAUGUCAUUUAUUUCCUUUGUCUUAUACAUAGGGAUUAUGAAGGUGACCCUGGGAAGGUGGGUGAGCACUUGUCCAUUAACCAUGACACGACAUGCCACAACUGCCCACCUACACCUCUAAGAAUCAAGAGGUGCUCCUACCAAAUAAACUUUAUUAAAAUGUACUCUUCUUGAUGUUCUUAACUAGCUUUUGCUAUAACGGAUUUCCUCAAACUCUAAUAUACUUCUUGCAUCCCAAACAAAAACUUGUUUUUACACAUCCCUAGUUCAAUAAGUAAAUUACCUGUACACUUAUGCACUCCUCUCCUGCGUUUAGCUACAUAAAAAGACAUUAAUCAUGUUCCAUAAAUAAAUAGCAUAGUGCUCCUGUCCACUUUCCUCUUGUAUUUGUCUGCAUGAGGAGUUUUAUCAGUCAACUAUUGAGAAGUCAGAAACAAUCUCUCACACAUCUGAGUGCCAGCAGGAACCUUAGGAGUUUCUUCUUGCUCUAGUGACUCAUGGGAAAUUUAUAUCACAGUGUCUGAUUAUACUUUAUUUUUUAUGAGUAGAAAAAUAUAAAUAAUAUACACUGUGUCAUUUUUAUUAAGUAUACAACUCAAUGGUAGUGAGUACUUUCACAGUGUUAUAAAAACAUUGCCAUAACCAUCUCCAGAAGUUUUCAUGUUCCAAAAUGAAACUGUGUCCCCAGAACAGCAACUCCCAUUCUCCAUUUCUCCCACUACCUAGUAACCACAAUUACGCUUUCUGUCUUUGUCAAUAUAACUACUGGACCUUCCUGAUAGAAGUUUAAUCUACAAUGUUUGUCCCCUUGUUCCUGGUUUGUAUAUUUUAGUAGAAAGUCUUCAAGGUUCACCUUUGUAGAAAGGAGUAGAUUUCCAUUCUUUUUGCAACUGGGUAAGACUCCAUGGUAUCUGUAUAGCAAUUUUGUGUAUGCAUUCAUGCAGGUGUAGAGACUUGGUUUGUUUGUAGUUCUGAUCAUAUUUUCUUGACUCUAGGAUAAGACAGAGAUUCAGAGACAGAAAAAUCAAGUCUGAAUUUAAGAAUCUCCACACUUUUCUGCACAGUGAGAGGGAUUCUUAUCUGUGGAGGCUGGAGAAAGAAGAGCAGAUGCUGAUGAGCCUGAGGGAGAAUGAGGCCAACUUGGAGUGGAAGAACCAUGAACUCAAGAGCCACCUCCUGGAACUAGAGGCAAAAUGUCAGAGCUCAGCCCAGAAACUGGCGCAGGACUUGUGCUGUGAAGCUGGAAGCACCUGAGGCCUUUUCCUUGGAGGUUCAGACUGUGUUUGGUGCUGCUGAACUUUACAGGAAUAUGAAGAUGAAGUUAAUGGGUUAUCAAGCGACCUCAUCAAAAGAGAAUAGGAAGGGGAAACUAUCUCCCUAACAGACUUUCUGGAUGACAGCAGAGGCAUUGAUAGAGGAAGAAGCACUUAUGGCCUCAAAUCAAUCAGCUGGGCUGAUGAAACAGAUGACUGGGAAGAGGAUGUUUCAGCCAGAUGGCAGAGUGGGGAUGAGGAUGUGUAUGGGGUUCCUGGAACUGACCAUGUUGUCCUUGCCACCGCUCCAUGUGCUGCUCAGGAACCCAGUGUCGACUGGAGCUGUCUGCCCAAGUCUCUGCCCUACCCUGCUUUUCUUGGGAACCUUCCCAAAGAUCUGAUCAAAGAUUUGGUUAAGAACUUCUUUAGAGGAUUAAAUAUCAGGGUGGUGCAUUUACCAUGUGACCCCUGCAAUCCAAAAAGGUAGAAAGGUUUUGGUUCUGUUCAGUUUGGGAACUUGGAUUCCCUGCUCUGUGCCCUGAGUCUCAAUAAACUGUGUCUAGGCAAAAGAAUAGUUCGAGUUGGAUUAGCUGAUCAAGCAUAGCAAGACAGCACAUAGGAGCCUGACAAAACAGACACAGACUGGAGGGCCCGACCUGCCACAGACAGCUUUGAUGAUGACAGCCCACCCAGAAGCAGUGAUGAUGGCUUUGGAUGCAAGUAUCAAGACUGUUAUGAUUCAGAUAGUGGUGGGUAUCAGAAUGGCCUAUCCUGGCCUAUGAAUCCAUAUAGGAGCCGGGAUCAUUAGGGCCACCAAGGCAGCAGAGACUCUGAUAGAGACUGUGAUUCCAGAAUAGGCAAUGGCAGAAGAGCCCUCCAUAGUGAGUGCCAUAGAGAUAAUUACUACAAAGGAGGUGGAGACCAUGGUGAUGACCCAUAUGCUGACAGCUCAUGGGGCUCCAGAGAUGAUUACUAAGACAAUUCUUGGUGCAAUUGUAGAGGUCUGCCCCACAGACCCAGACUGAAUCUGAAACCUGGGAGUACUCCUAAGGAAAACGAUUCUUCCACCACCCCCUUCCAGCCCAGUCGAGCACCUUCCAUCUUUAGAGGGGUAAAGCCUGUUGACACAGCUGCUAGGGAAAGAGAAGUGGAGGAAUGGAUGCAGAAGGAGCAGGAGAGAUCUUCGUGGGGGCCAGAUAAUCCAAAACUAGAAUGGCGGUCAGGCUGGCAAAGGGAAGAAACUCAGGUAUAGGAAGGAAAAGUGAAUCACUGAAGACUGGAACCUCAGGCCCACCUGGCAAAAAUGCAUAAAGAAGAAAAAGAAGUCUCUAGAAAAUCAAAUACUCGGUAAGGUGGAAGAUUGUCACUCUUCAAUUUCUAAGCUUCCCCAAAGGUGAUCAGCUUCUAAAGGUAAUGCCAGCCACCCCACCAAAGGAGAAUGGGUGGUAAAGCACCAUCCUGCUCCAUCUCAGAGCUCUGGCACAGAGCAGAAAUCUCCUAGAGAUGGUAGUGGCUUGGAAGGUAGCUCCAACUCAGCCACCUGAAGAAAGACCAAUAAGGAAAAUUGCAAAUAAAAUGGAUGGGGUGUGUAUCCAAAAAGGCUAACCUGAGAACUCCUGUCAUAAUUCAGGAGACAGAGAAAAAAAAAAUCACUAGAAGGAGGUAGAUAGGAAGGAGGGCAAAGAGAAUCAAGACUCCAGCUCUGCACUUGUGCAAAGGAAAACAGGAAAAUCCAGCCUCCAAGUUCAGUUCUGCAAGCAGGUAAGCUGCUCUCUCCAUGAGUGGUGAAGAUGGAAACGAG